UGCCUCUCGAUCAAAAAAUAAGAGGUACGUCCUGCCCAGUGAACUAAGGUUUAAACGGCCGCGGUAUACCUGACCGUGCAAAGGUAGCAUAAUCAUUUGCCUUUUAAUUGGAGGCUAGUAUGAAUGGAUAAACGAGGGACCAGCUGUCUCAUAUAAAUUAAUAAAAAUUAAUCUCCAGGUGAAGAAGCCUGGUUAUCACUAAAAGACAAGAAGACCCUAUAGAGUUUUACUUAAAUUCACAACAAUUUAUAAAUUAAUAUAUUUAAAUUAAUGUAAACAAGUUUAGUUGGGGCGACUAAGGAAUAAGAAUACCUUCCUUAAAAUAAAGAAUAUAUUCACACACCAGAUCCUAAAAAGACCAAAAGAAUAACAUUACCUUAGGGAUAACAGGCUAAUCUCCCCAGAGAGUCCAAAUUGACGGGGAGGGUUGGCACCUCGAUGUUGGCUUAAGACAACUAUUAAAUGCAGCAGUUUAAAUAAGUUGGUUUGUUCAACCAUUAAAGUCUU
This 507-nucleotide ribosomal RNA is filed under the name Hesiospina vestimentifera. RNAcentral's name for it is "partial 16S ribosomal RNA". It matches the Rfam family "Bacterial large subunit ribosomal RNA", at positions 1819 to 2597 of the family's 2925-position model. Lineage: Eukaryota; Metazoa; Annelida; Polychaeta; Phyllodocida; Hesionidae. The record is from RNAcentral.